CUAGCAUUCUCAGCUCCUUGGAGCUAAGAUCAAAGUGUAGUGUCUGUUCUUAUCAGUUUGAUCGCUGAUAGGUCCUUUAUUUAAGGACUGUGUAUUAAAUGAUUUUUGAACCAGGGGCUGUACUAAGAGCUUGUUCUGUCCACCUUACACAUUGACCUGGUAUUGCAGUAUCUUGGGUGCUGGGGGUGGGGGCAUGAAG
RNAcentral lists this small nuclear RNA (199 nucleotides) under Chelydra serpentina (North American snapping turtle). RNAcentral's name for it is "U2 spliceosomal RNA (ENSCSRG00000020924.1)". It matches the Rfam family "U2 spliceosomal RNA". From Rfam's summary of the family: U2 is a small nuclear RNA (snRNA) component of the spliceosome (involved in pre-mRNA splicing). The record is from Rfam by way of RNAcentral. Lineage: Eukaryota; Metazoa; Chordata; Testudines; Chelydridae.